Molecule: ribosomal RNA, 244 nt
Filed under: uncultured bacterium
Lineage: Bacteria
Description: partial 16S ribosomal RNA
Rfam family: Bacterial small subunit ribosomal RNA
Source: RNAcentral
ACACGUGGGUAACCUGCCUUAUAGUGGGGGAUAGCCUUUCGAAAGGAAGAUUAAUACCGCAUAAGAUUGUAGUAUCGCAUGAUAUAGCAAUUAAAGGAGCAAUCCGCUAUAAGAUGGACCCGCGUCGCAUUAGCUAGUUGGUGAGGUGAUGGCUCACCAAGGCGACGAUGCGUAGCCGACCUGAGAGGGUGAACGGCCACAUUGGGACUGAGACACGGCCCAGACUCCUACGGGAGGCAGCAUG